GACAGAGGGUGCAAACGUUGUUCGGAAUUACUGGGCGUAAAGCGUGUGUAGGCGGCCAUGUAAGUCGGAUGUGAAAGCCCCAGGCUCAACCUGGGAAGUGCACUCGAUACUGCGUGGCUUGAGUAUCGGAGAGGUUGGUGGAAUUCUCGGUGUAGAGGUGAAAUUCGUAGAUAUCGAGAGGAACACCGGUGGCGAAGGCGGCCAACUGGACGAAUACUGACGCUGAGACACGAAAGCGUGGGGAGCAAACAGG
RNAcentral lists this ribosomal RNA (253 nucleotides) under uncultured bacterium. RNAcentral describes it as "partial 16S ribosomal RNA". It matches the Rfam family "Bacterial small subunit ribosomal RNA", at positions 524 to 776 of the family's 1533-position model. The record is from RNAcentral.